Molecule: transfer RNA, 69 nt
Filed under: Ictidomys tridecemlineatus (thirteen-lined ground squirrel)
Lineage: Eukaryota; Metazoa; Chordata; Mammalia; Rodentia; Sciuridae
Description: Spermophilus tridecemlineatus (thirteen-lined ground squirrel) tRNA
Rfam family: tRNA
About the family: Transfer RNA (tRNA) molecules are approximately 80 nucleotides in length. Their secondary structure includes four short double-helical elements and three loops (D, anti-codon, and T loops).
Source: Rfam by way of RNAcentral
GGGGUUGUGGCUCAGUGGUAGAGUGCUUGUCUUGCAUGCAUGAGGCACUGGGUUUGAUCCUCAGCACCA